Molecule: ribosomal RNA, 190 nt
Filed under: uncultured bacterium
Lineage: Bacteria
Description: partial 16S ribosomal RNA
Rfam family: Bacterial small subunit ribosomal RNA
Source: RNAcentral
UCUACGGGAGGCAGCAGUGAGGAAUAUUGGUCAAUGGACGCAAGUCUGAACCAGCCACGUCGCGUGAAGGAAGACGGCCCUACGGGUUGUAAACUUCUUUUGUAAGGGAAUAAAGUGAUUCACGUGUGUUUCAUUGCAUGUACCUUACGAAUAAGGAUCGGCUAACUCCGUGCCAGCAGCCGCGGUAAUA